Molecule: long non-coding RNA, 480 nt
Organism: Xyrauchen texanus (razorback sucker)
Lineage: Eukaryota; Metazoa; Chordata; Actinopteri; Cypriniformes; Catostomidae
Exons: 3
Source: RefSeq, a predicted model, not a curated record
UGCGAUUUCACUCUUAAUUCAGUCAAUCGUGCUGCAUUGGCAUUGAUAGAUAUCAUACCGAGGUCUCCAAAGUCAAAGUCUGCUGGUUUCAAAGCAUAGAUGGUUUCCCUUAUCAAAUAGGCUAUAGCCACUCAGCUUGAUCAGAUGAUAGACGAUUGCAGCUACAUUAUGAAGACCAAAACUAUGACACAGAACACAGUGGAGAAACACAAGGAGACUCUGCAUGAGCUAAAGAGGAAGUACCAUGAAAAGGAGGAGCGCUAUAAAAAUCUGCCUUUGCUGGAUGAAAUGCAGCAUAAAUUGGAUGAACUGAACAAUCAGAUGGUCGGGCUCUGGUCUGGAAUUACAAACAACACACUGUGACUUUUCUUACGUUAAAAUAUAUUUGGUCUCAAACCAAAGUGAUUACAACACUUUAAAUUGCCAAAUUUUAUCAGUUAAAUAAUCAAAUUUAAUUGUAUCAGAAGUUGUAAACAUAAA